Molecule: ribosomal RNA, 150 nt
Filed under: uncultured bacterium
Lineage: Bacteria
Description: partial 16S ribosomal RNA
Rfam family: Bacterial small subunit ribosomal RNA
Source: RNAcentral
GCGCAAGCCUGAUCUAGCCAUGCCGCGUGAGUGAUGAAGGCCUUAGGGUCGUAAAGCUCUUUCGCCAGGGAUGAUAAUGACAGUACCUGGUAAGGAAACCCCGGCUAACUCCGUGCCAGCAGCCGCGGUAAUACGCCGCGGUAAUACGGC